This 348-nucleotide transfer-messenger RNA is filed under the name Oceaniovalibus guishaninsula JLT2003. Its description in RNAcentral is "Alphaproteobacteria transfer-messenger RNA". It matches the Rfam family "Alphaproteobacteria transfer-messenger RNA". From Rfam's summary of the family: Bacterial tmRNA, also known as 10Sa RNA or SsrA, is named for its dual tRNA and mRNA-like properties. Its role is to liberate the mRNA from a stalled ribosome. Lineage: Bacteria; Pseudomonadati; Pseudomonadota; Alphaproteobacteria; Rhodobacterales; Roseobacteraceae. The record is from Rfam by way of RNAcentral.
CGGCUUGAUUUCCGCCCCCGGCCGCCUUACCUUCAAAGUGUCCUUAGGGACUAUGGUGAUAAACGCGCAGGUAAUAAGCGGAUCGGACCCGGGGGCGGUACCCGGCGGCUCCACCAAACCUCUUUUGUUGGAAGAGCAUGGGGCCGAAACAGGAUCGACGGACGUCUAAAGCUGUGGCUUUCACUCGGUGAGCUACCACCGUUAUCGGUGCGAAAAGUAUAGUUGCCAACAACAACCAUGCUCCGGUUGCUCUGGCUGCGUAAGCAGUUCGAGUAAUCGAAAUCUAAGCCCUUGCGCCUAGCAGCGUAAGGCGGGGUUCGCAGGCACCUGGCAACAGAAGCCUGCACU